RNAcentral lists this ribosomal RNA (321 nucleotides) under uncultured eukaryote. RNAcentral's name for it is "partial 18S ribosomal RNA". It matches the Rfam family "Eukaryotic small subunit ribosomal RNA", at positions 1470 to 1796 of the family's 1831-position model. The record is from RNAcentral.
CCCUUAGAUGUUCUGGGCCGCACGCGCGCUACGCUGAUGAACGCAACGAGACCACCUGUACCGAAAGGCAUGGGUAAACUUGUGAAAGUUCAUCGUGAUGGGGAUAGAUUAUUGCAAUUAUUAAUCUUCAACGAGGAAUUCCUAGUAAGCGCGAGUCAUCAGCUCGCGUUGAUUACGUCCCUGCCCUUUGUACACACCGCCCGUCGCUCCUACCGAUUGAAUGGUCCGGUGAAAUCUUCGGAUUGCUGGAUAGGACUUCAUUGACCUAUCUGCGAGAAGUUGCUUGAACCUUAUCAUUUAGAGGAAGGAGAAGUCGUANCA